UACGAAGGGGGCUAGCGUUGUUCGGAUUUACUGGGCGUAAAGCGCACGUAGGCGGAUCGUUAAGUCGGGGGUGAAAUCCUGGAGCUCAACUCCAGGACUGCCUUCGAUACUGGCGAUCUUGAGUCCGGAAGAGGUGAGUGGAACUCCUAGUGUAGAGGUGGAAUUCGUAGAUAUUAGGAAGAACACCAGUGGCGAAGGCGGCUCACUGGUCCGGUACUGACGCUGAGGUGCGAAAGCGUGGGGAGCAAACAGG
RNAcentral lists this ribosomal RNA (253 nucleotides) under uncultured bacterium. Its description in RNAcentral is "partial 16S ribosomal RNA". It matches the Rfam family "Bacterial small subunit ribosomal RNA", at positions 524 to 776 of the family's 1533-position model. The record is from RNAcentral.